CCUACGGGAGGCAGCAGUGAGGAAUAUUGGUCAAUGGCCGGAAGGCUGAACCAGCCAUGCCGCGUGAAGGUCAGUGCCCUAUGGGCGUUAAACUUCUUUUGUACGGGAGCAAUAAUGGUCACGUGUGGCCAGACGAGAGUACCGUACGAAUAAGAAUCGGCUAACUCCGUGCCAGCAGCCGCGGUAAUACGGGGGAUGCAAGCGUUCUCCGGAUUUAUUGGGGUUAAAGGGUGCGUAGGCUGUGAGGUAAGUCAGCGUUGAAAUGCCCCCGCUCAACGGGGUGAAGUGCCAUUGAUACUGCCUUGCUGGAAUGCGGAUGCCGUGGGAGGAAUGUGUGGUGUAGCGGUGAAAUGCAUAGAUAUCACACAGAACACCGAUUGCGAAGGCAUCUCACGAAUCCGCGAUUGACGCUGAUGCACGAAAGCGUGGGUAUCAAACAGGAUUAGAUACCCCAGUAGUC
Molecule: ribosomal RNA, 460 nt
Filed under: uncultured bacterium
Lineage: Bacteria
Description: partial 16S ribosomal RNA
Rfam family: Bacterial small subunit ribosomal RNA
Source: RNAcentral